GCAGCCAUCUCUCUUAUAAUUCAGAAACCAGUGAAUCUAUUUCUAAACGUUUGCUGUUUCUCGCUCAUGGAUAGAACAGCAAGUAAAGUCAACCUUCUCUGUGUCCUACAACUUCUUAUAUACUUUUGACUUCUCUCGACUUCCAGAAUGAUCGCAAGGCAGCAAAGUCAUUUUGCAGGAAACACUUUCCAUCCAUCCAUCCCAAUGGCACUACAGCCCAUGGAGGGCUUUAGCUGGCUUCAACACAUCCCUCCAUUCAGAUCUCUCCUUAGCCUUUUAUCUCCGUCACUAUCUGUGGGUCUUCAUACAAUUGAUAUAUCUCAUGUAUCUGCACUAUUCAACACAUUCAGAGAGGAAGCAGCAGCUCAAACUUCAACAUUUUUGAGUCUUUCAAUUUUGCUGUUGUCACGUUCUCCACUGUUGGCUAUGGAGAUGUUUCCUCUGACAUUUGGCUGGGCUGACUCUUAAUGAUUCUAACCAUUUCCCUGGCAUUUGUUUUUAUACCUAGCCAGAGAUGUAAUUCUGCUGUGUCCCCGUGAGUUGGAAACCAGUAAGCAAGUCAUCUAAUAGAGGUCUGAUAGAGUCAUGUACAUCAAGCGAUCAGCACUAAAAGAUGUGGACCUGAUGUGGUGUCAUGAAGCUUUUGCUUGCUUCUUUUGGCUGUUCGUUUAACACAAGACAAAGCACAUACUGAUCCUCAUACCAUUUUAAGAUCCUGGGAUGUGAAAGACUUUGCACCGGACUGUCGUCAGUAUCUUUACCUCUUCCAUGCCGGCAAUAAAAUACAUCUGAAACUUGUUGGGGAGACUAACGCUCUGAAAACAAUAAAUUGGGAAAAAAAGAUUUGAAUGCUGGGACAAGAAGCCCCUGGAUGAGGCUGCCAAGUGAUCGGUUCAAAUUUCGCACAGUUCAGGCCAAACUCUUAGGCCCUUACUCAAAUAGAGUAAUGUUAUUAAUAUAUUUACAUUUUGACAUCAAAGUUUGUACUUCACCGAUCAUAUUGUGCGUAAAGAUGGGUUAGGUUAGAUGAGUUCAGCUUUGCCUUGUUAGCCAACAACUGUCUGUAUCCUGGACUGUCCACACUUGUAUUAUUGCUGGUACACUUUCAGCAGUGAGCCAUGGCAGCAGACGUAUAGAAGGCAUGCUGGGAAUGAAAUUCAUCACAUACAGCUGCAAAAAAGUAUUUUCAUUGGUAAUUAUGUGGGCUGCACAAGCCUCAGCUGAUGCUCACCAAAGAACUGAGGCAAAUCUUUUUCGCUGUCCAUACCUUUCUUGGUUACCAUUUCUUUACAUAGUGUGUACAUCUGGAACCUGUCGUGAAUUGUCCAUAAAAAUAACACUUGGUAUAUGAUUGUCCUGCAGGACCAAGCCAGCUCAGACGUCGUUGUCUGAGGAUUGUAAAGAUAUUUGGAAGACCAAUUUUAUCAAGUAACUUUAUAAAUGUUAUAAUAUCAUUAGCUCUUGGAAAUCCUAUGCCGAACUGGGAGUCGAACACUUAGUGAGGUUGUGACUGAACGUCACAUGAGGUUUGCGGGACAUGUUCUACGUCAAAAUGAAUUACGCACACCAAGAGUUGCGAUAACAUGGAAGCCAAAACAAUGAAAGCGCAAACAGGGACGUCCUCGUAUUACCUGGCGACACACCUUCAUGGAGGACCUCAGAACAGUGGACACCAGGUGGGAGGAGGCUUCAGACAUUACCAGUGACAGAUCAUUAUGGAGACAGCUUGCCGCCCAAUGCGCCGAACGGCGCCGGAGGACCUAUGUCUAAAAUGUUGAGUCAGAUAUUGAAGCCAGAGCUUGUAUCUAAGUCAAAGACCACUAGUAUUUGACAGUGUUUACAGAGGACAAGAUGUCCCAGCUCAGUCCAAAAUUCAUAAAGACUGUGUCUCAGCGAAGCAUAAGAGUUGGUCUUGGAUUCAAACAGUCAAUGAAUGUUUAGGCAUUCAUAGUGAAAAUACUGCUAACUAUCAUCAGUUCUACCAUGAUGUUUGCCACCUGGAAGAAGACAUGCUUUCAUUCUUGCUUUGGAUGGACAGUUCAACAGCUAGAGCUCAAGUCAAGACUCAAGAUCCUGAUGUCAUGUUAAAACAUUUCAGAUUAAUAAACAAUUGUUGGACUAUCAGGGCUAGUUAGAUCUUCUCGCAGAGCGAAGUUGAGAUAUUCACCCAGUUCAUCACCGCCAAGAACUGCCAGAAUGGCAUUUGAAGGCUAGAGCUCUUGUCCAAUAUCAGCACAAACAUGUGUCAUUGGCAAAAGGGGACUUUGUCAAGAUUUUGGAAAAUUCUGAUGCUGAAAGAUGGAAGAUGGAAUAGAAAGUGAAGUUCCUGCUAUUGUGUUGGUCAUUCCUUCCUGCUUCCAACAGAUUGAUAAUUAUGUUUUUCCUGCUGAAGAUGGUGAAUGAGGCAGCAGACAUCUUGAAAGGAGCUGAUUUCGAGUUCCUUCAACAGUCUUUUCAUUUUAUUUAGGAAGAAGCUCAUCAGUCACUUCAAACCAGGUGAUGAUGGAGUCAUAAACAGUAGGAUACAGAGGUGAAACAAAACUGGAGCUUUAGUUUGUUUGUUUGUAGAACUUGGCAUCUACUCCAGACAUUAUUCUGAAGAACACUCAAGUAAAAGAAAAGAAGAAAUGUUAAAGGUUAAGGACUUGGGCUCCAAUCAUAAUUUCACUUCAAAAGCUUUAAUUUGAAAGGUCUUAUAUUUUUUGUGGAAAUAAAUUUUACUAGUGGAGUUUUUGUAGCUGCCAAAGUGGAUCAAGGUGGAUGUGAUAUCUAUUUAUAAACAUGUAUACCAGUAUAUUGUAAUCAGUGAUUUUCAUUUUUUGGUAACAGUUUGUUUCCAUUUAGAUUGCAGUCUUUCUUAUGUGAAAACAAGAUGUCUGCAUAAUCUUAGAGGACAUUUUUAAACUCAUUUAAAUUUAUUAGAUGAAAUAUUUAUAAAACAUAGAAUGUAAAUUGUUUUGUAAAAUGAUUAUACAUUUGAGUUCAUAAAAAUGUGUAAUUUUUUAAUGGCAUCAUGUUUCUGCUUAUCUGUAUCUGAUACUGAUGAUGUGUUUUCUAAAUCUAUUACUGCUUCACCAUUGAGGAAAAACUGCACAUGUUUAAACCCAUAUCUGAAGUAACUUUCCAGAAAAAAAAAAGAUGUAUGUUGGACAGUGUCCAAAAUUUCAAAUCAUUUCCUUCAAAAUGUUAUCAAUUUCCUCCAUAACUUCAUAACAUUAUUGAAUUUUUUCCUUCAGAACACAAUUGUAAAUUAUCUUUUUUUUUUUUUUUUUUGUUAAACCACAAUGAGAGUCUAAUAACUAAUAGUCUAGCAAACAAUUACUUAUAAUUUGCCUUAUUAUUAUACAAUAUUAAGAUUUACUUCUGCAGGGAUGAAAAACUUUUUUAAAAAUACAAUAGACAUGUAUAAUAAUAAAGUACAUUCACACCUGACUCACUCAUAAUUUACAUGUGAAAAGUUUAUAUCAGAUUGUUUCUAUUUAAUGAUUUGAUUGCCAUCAGUGUCUUGUAUCUCUUUUGUGAUGGUAAAGUCACAAAAUGUAGGAAACCCCACUGUGUUUGGUCCAGUAUGUGGGUUAUUAUAUGUAAGUCUAUUGUAUUUUCUAUAUUAUUUUACAAAUGUAAAAAAAAUAAAAAGAAAUUGUUACACUGUU
Molecule: long non-coding RNA, 3653 nt
Organism: Biomphalaria glabrata
Lineage: Eukaryota; Metazoa; Mollusca; Gastropoda; Planorbidae
Exons: 19
Source: RefSeq, a predicted model, not a curated record